AGAGUUUGAUCCUGGCUCAGAACGAACGCUGGCGGCGCGCUUAACACAUGCAAGUCGAACGGGGUCAUUAUGAAGUAGCAAUACGGAUUGAUGACUUAGUGGCGAACGGGUGAGUAAUACAUAGGCAACCUGCCCUUAGGAUUGGGAUACUCCCGAGAAAUCGGGCACAAUACCGAAUAUGAUUACGAGGUGAAAUUCCUUGUGAUAAAAGCUGCAAGCAAUUGCAGCACCUGAGGAGGGGCCUGUGGCCUAUCAGCUUGUUGGUGAGGUAACGGCUCACCAAGGCUAAGACGGGUAGCCGGACUGAGAGGUCGAUCGGCCACACUGGAACUGAGACACGGUCCGGACUCCUACGGGAGGCAGCAGUGGGGAAUCUUGCGCAAUGGGCGAAAGCCUGACGCAGCCAUGCCGCGUGAAUGAUGAAGGUCUUAGGAUUGUAAAAUUCUUUCACCGGGGACGAUAAUGACGGUACCCGGAGAAGAAGCCCCGGCUAACUUCGUGCCAGCAGCCGCGGUAAUACGAGGGGGGCUAGCGUUGCUCGGAAUUACUGGGCGUAAAGGGAGCGUAGGCGGACAUUUAAGUCAGGGGUGAAAUCCCGGGGCUCAACCUCGGAAUUGCCUUUGAUACUGGGUGUCUUGAGUGUGAGAGAGGUAUGUGGAACUCCGAGUGUAGAGGUGAAAUUCGUAGAUAUUCGGAAGAACACCAGUGGCGAAGGCGACAUACUGGCUCAUUACUGACGCUGAGGCUCGAAAGCGUGGGGAGCAAACAGGAUUAGAUACCCUGGUAGUCC
This 790-nucleotide ribosomal RNA is filed under the name uncultured bacterium. RNAcentral describes it as "bacterial SSU rRNA". It matches the Rfam family "Bacterial small subunit ribosomal RNA", at positions 8 to 796 of the family's 1533-position model. The record is from RNAcentral.